GGGCCCGCACAAGCAGCGGAGCAUGUGGUUUAAUUCGAAGCAACGCGAAGAACCUUACCAGGUCUUGACAUCCAGGUAAACUUGCAGAGAUGCAAGGUGUGCUUGCACAAUCUGAGACAGGUGGUGCAUGGUUGUCGUCAGCUCGUGUCGUGAGAUGUUGGGUUAAGUCCCGCAACGAGCGCAACCCUUGUGAUUAGUUACUAACGGGUAAAGCCGAGGACUCUAAUAAGACUGCCGGGGACAACUCGGAGGAAGGUGGGGACGACGUCAAAUCAUCAUGCCCCUUAUGACCUGGGCUACACACGUGCUACAAUGGCCACGACAGAGAGCAGCGAUACCGUAAGGGGGAGCUAAUCUCAUAAAAGUGGUCCCAGUUCGGAUUGUGGGCUGCAACCCGCCCACAUGAAGUCGGAGUUGCUAGUAAUCGCGGAUCAGCAUGCCGCGGUGAAUACGUUCCCGGGCCUU
RNAcentral lists this ribosomal RNA (465 nucleotides) under uncultured bacterium. Its description in RNAcentral is "bacterial SSU rRNA". It matches the Rfam family "Bacterial small subunit ribosomal RNA", at positions 917 to 1382 of the family's 1533-position model. The record is from RNAcentral.